This 630-nucleotide ribosomal RNA is filed under the name Clavicipitaceae sp. 095902. RNAcentral's name for it is "eukaryotic LSU rRNA". It matches the Rfam family "Eukaryotic large subunit ribosomal RNA", at positions 1 to 609 of the family's 3401-position model. Lineage: Eukaryota; Fungi; Ascomycota; Sordariomycetes; Hypocreales; Clavicipitaceae. The record is from RNAcentral.
AGAACCCUUCGCACCAAGAGUUGACCUCGGAUCAGGUAGGAAUACCCGCUGAACUUAAGCAUAUCAAUAAGCGGAGGAAAAGAAACCAACAGGGAUUGCCCCAGUAACGGCGAGUGAAGCGGCAACAGCUCAAAUUUGAAAUCUGGCCCCCUCCGCGGGGGUCCGAGUUGUAAUUUGCAGAGGAUGCUUCUGGCGCGGCGCCUUCCGAGUUCCCUGGAACGGGACGCCACAGAGGGUGAGAGCCCCGUCCGGUCGGACGCCCAGCCUAUGUGAAGCACCUUCGACGAGUCGGGUAGUUUGGGAAUGCUGCCCUAAAUGGGAGGUAUAUGUCUUCUAAAGCUAAAUACCGGCCAGAGACCGAUAGCGCACAAGUAGAGUGAUCGAAAGAUGAAAAGCACUUUGAAAAGAGGGUUAAACAGUACGUGAAAUUGUUGAAAGGGAAGCGCUCAUGACCAGACUUGGGCCCGGGGGAUCACCCGGCGUUCUUUCGCCGGGGCACUUCGCCGGCUGCCCAGGCCAGCAUCAGUUCGCGGCGGGGGACAAAGGCUUCGGGAACGUGGCUCCCUACGGGGAGUGUUAUAGCCCGCUGCGCAAUGCCCUGCCGCGGACUGAGGUUCGCGCUUCCGCAAG